This 373-nucleotide ribosomal RNA is filed under the name uncultured bacterium. RNAcentral describes it as "bacterial SSU rRNA". It matches the Rfam family "Bacterial small subunit ribosomal RNA", at positions 28 to 402 of the family's 1533-position model. The record is from RNAcentral.
GACAAACGCUGGCGGCGUGCAUAAAACAUGCAAGUCGAACGGACUUCAGUCCGCAAGGACUGAAGUGAGUGGCGAACGGCUGAGUAACACGUAGGUGACCUGCCCCGAAGUUUGGGAUAACAACUCGAAAGAGUUGCUAAUACCGGAUGUGACCACCGAUUCAUUUCGGUGCUUAAAGUCGCAAGACGCUUUGGGAGGGGCCUGCGGCGGAUUAGCUAGUUGGUGUGGUAACGGCAUACCAAGGCUUCGAUCCGUAGCUGGUCUGAGAGGAUGGCCAGCCAGACUGGGACUGAGACACGGCCCAGACUCCUACGGGAGGCAGCAGUUAGGAAUUUUGCGCAAUGGAGGAAACUCUGACGCAGCCACGCCGCGU